This 259-nucleotide ribosomal RNA is filed under the name uncultured bacterium. RNAcentral's name for it is "partial 16S ribosomal RNA". It matches the Rfam family "Bacterial small subunit ribosomal RNA", at positions 95 to 354 of the family's 1533-position model. The record is from RNAcentral.
UUGGCGGACGGGUGAGUAACGCGUGGAAAACCUGCCGUAUACUGGGGGAUAACACUUAGAAAUAGGUGCUAAUACCGCAUAAGCGCACAGCUUCGCAUGAAGUGGUGUGAAAAACUCCGGUGGUGUAAGAUGGACCCGCGUCUGAUUAGCUUGUUGGCGGGGUAGGGGCCCACCAAGGCGACGAUCAGUAGCCGGCCUGAGAGGGUGGACGGCCACAUUGGGACUGAGACACGGACCAGACUCCUACGGAAGGCAGCAG